RNAcentral lists this transfer RNA (73 nucleotides) under Trichonephila inaurata madagascariensis. It matches the Rfam family "tRNA". From Rfam's summary of the family: Transfer RNA (tRNA) molecules are approximately 80 nucleotides in length. Their secondary structure includes four short double-helical elements and three loops (D, anti-codon, and T loops). Lineage: Eukaryota; Metazoa; Arthropoda; Arachnida; Araneae; Nephilidae. The record is from Rfam by way of RNAcentral.
GUCCCUGUAGCGCAAUGGAUAGCGCGUUGGACUUCUAUUCCAAAGGUCGGGGGUCCGAUUCCCCCCUGGGAUG